GAUCCUGCUCAGAUUGAACGCUGGCGGCAGGCCUAACACAUGCAAGUCGAACGGUAACAGGAAGAAGCUUGCUUCUUUGCUGACGAGUGGCGGACGGGUGAGUAAUGUCUGGGAAACUGCCUGAUGGAGGGGGAUAACUACUGGAAACGGUAGCUAAUACCGCAUAACGUCGCAAGACCAAAGAGGGGGACCUUCGGGCCUCUUGCCAUCGGAUGUGCCCAGAUGGGAUUAGCUAGUAGGUGGGGUAACGGG
This 252-nucleotide ribosomal RNA is filed under the name uncultured bacterium. Its description in RNAcentral is "partial 16S ribosomal RNA". It matches the Rfam family "Bacterial small subunit ribosomal RNA", at positions 15 to 264 of the family's 1533-position model. The record is from RNAcentral.